UCAGCUCGUGCCGUGAGGUGUCGGUUAGUACCCAUAACGAGCGCAACCUUACCGUUAGUUACCAUCAGGUUAAGCUGGGGACUCGUAGCGGGACUGCCACCGUAAGGUGAGAGGAAGGUGGGGAUGACGUCAAAUCAGCACGGCCCUUAUGUCCAGGGCUACACACGUGUUACAAUGGCCGGUACAAAGGGCAGCUACCGGGUGACCGGAUGCUAAUCUCUAAAGCUGGUCUCAGUUCGGAUCGAAGUCUGCAACCCGACUUCGUGAAGCUGGAUUCGCUAGUAAUCGCGCAUCAGCCAUGGCGCGGUGAAUACGUUCCCGGGCCUU
This 327-nucleotide ribosomal RNA is filed under the name uncultured Sphingobacteriales bacterium. Its description in RNAcentral is "bacterial SSU rRNA". It matches the Rfam family "Bacterial small subunit ribosomal RNA", at positions 1055 to 1382 of the family's 1533-position model. Lineage: Bacteria; Pseudomonadati; Bacteroidota; Sphingobacteriia; Sphingobacteriales. The record is from RNAcentral.